ACCAACAGACCAAUACAAUUCCCCUCAGGCAAAUAGCCUAAUUCAUUGCACAUGCCAGAAAUACAAAGAGCUUAGCUUACACAUGAAAGCUAUUUCUGUUACUAAAUCAAUAGGAAGAAAAUACAGAGGAAAGCUUUCAAGACUACAAGAAAAAGUGAGCUGACAACAAGAAAAAAAUACACGUGAUGACAGACCAGUGACAUCCAGACCCUUCCGUGGCCACUGCGGCCAUAACUCUGAAGUACACGCACCAUGAACCCCACAAGGCACAAGAGAUGCUGCGUGGUGAGCAGGUGUCUGAGUCUGUUUGGUUCAAGUGCCUUCCCGAGGC
This is a long non-coding RNA of Oncorhynchus gorbuscha (pink salmon), 331 nucleotides long. RefSeq lists it as uncharacterized. Lineage: Eukaryota; Metazoa; Chordata; Actinopteri; Salmoniformes; Salmonidae. The transcript is spliced from 3 exons. The record is from RefSeq and is a predicted model, not a curated record.